CUGGAACAUCUCAAAAGAUUUGCUUUCUCACCUUAUAAAAAGAGAGAUGUUAAACUAAUUAGGCUUAUUUGGUAUAUUAAAUUGCAUGGGAAGCAAUGUCAAAUAAGUGAUGAUAAGUCUUCUUUGGUUAUAUUGUAUAGGUGAAUAUUAUUAGUAUAAACGUUCUGGAAAUUAUGUAAAAUUUUGAUAUGUCCUGGUCAAACAUUAUCCCUUGUAAUUCUAGUCAUUAUCUUAAAAUGUUGUAUGUCAUAACAAUAACCACGUUUCUCUGUCAAUUGCAUUAUAAUGUUAUCUUUUGUCACUUAUAGACAAUUAUUGUUUUACUCUGAUGCUUUUGCAAAAAUGCUUCAUCUUCAAGAAGAUUCAUAGGAAGGACUUUUUGACAAGUACGGGUUUCUAAUAACUUUCAGAUUAUACCACUGAACUGGAUAUAAAGAAUAUAUUUUUUCUCCUAAGCCAACUAUGACAAUAACAAUUGGUAAAUUAUGGCUUUGUAAGCAUAAUUGAAACAUUUAUCUACUUCUCCGUACCUGAUCCCUCAAGAAUUCAGAAAUUUAGCUUAACUUUGGGAUCCCAUCUGUAUCACUGUAUCCUGAAAUUGGAGACCACUGUUGAAUUGGACUAACCUAUUCUUUAAGCCAAGAGACUGGCUCAAGGAGAUGGAGCAACCUACCAACUCAACUUCUGGAAUGUAAAACUUGUCAUGAAGUUUCAAAGGCAGGAGUAAAGGGGUUCAAAACUGCCUCCCCAAGAUAUGCCACUUUGGAAUGUGGACUAUUUUGAGCUAAAGGCAAUCGAGACCCUAAAGUCUCAAGAAAAAUUUUAUACCUUUUUGAAGAAUUUAAAUUGGGAGCUUUGACCAUAAUAAGAGUUAUUACAGAAAUAAACUUUUACGACCUGUCUGUAUGGCAGGGGAAAUCUCUAACUACUGAAUACUUGCUCUUUUUAUCAUUCUGUGAAUUACCUUCCUCCCCUCUGAAGACUCAGGCCCCUAAUCUAUCCCUUAGCUCAAGAUGGCAUAUAUACCUCAUUUUACCUUUCUCUCUCUAAAUCUCUCAUGUAUUAGGUAUUCCUAUAUGUAUGAAAUUAAAUAUGAUUUUC
RNAcentral lists this long non-coding RNA (1101 nucleotides) under Equus caballus (horse). Its description in RNAcentral is "lncRNA (ENSECAG00000044007.1)". Lineage: Eukaryota; Metazoa; Chordata; Mammalia; Perissodactyla; Equidae. The record is from RNAcentral.